Aedes albopictus (Asian tiger mosquito) is the source of this 2837-nucleotide long non-coding RNA. RefSeq lists it as uncharacterized. The transcript is spliced from 2 exons. Lineage: Eukaryota; Metazoa; Arthropoda; Insecta; Diptera; Culicidae. The record is from RefSeq and is a predicted model, not a curated record.
UUUUGCCGCACCUAUGGUAACCCCACAUCGAACCAUGGUCAAUAUCACCGCCAACCAAGGAUACAAAAGCUCCCGUUGACAUCGGGUUACUUGUUAGAAAAUCUUACCACAUUUGGUGCUCCCGCAUUUGAUAUUUACGUUUUGAAUGCACACAGCAAUAGAAUUUCCAGAGAAGAUUGAAGAGGGACAAACCAAUCCGACCGAGCCGGAGAUGAUUACCUUGGAUCCGAUUUCGGGAGGAGCGAAUACGUUGGCAGCUGGAUCUGUGAGCAGUUCAGCUGACGAGUUCGUUAGCGCGGACGAAGACGAUAUCGACAGUGACGAAAAUGUGCUCCCACCGCAAUAUGUAGACCCAGCUAACCCAGAGCAUGAGUGUAACCGUCGGUUCCAAAUUCUACUUGUAGCUCCACCACAAGAUCAAUUUUCCAUCAAAUUUUCCUUAAAUUCCUUUUCCCGUUUAUUAUCCCAAAAUAUUCAUGCCAUAAUAACACGCCCUUUUCAGAUAUUUCUCCCACUAACACUAUCAGGGAGCAAUGGCUGCACUCAGCGGCUUGAUGAGUGUCAGAGCGUUUCUCCUCUUUCAUGUUCCACACUGUUUUGGUGACAACAUACUCGUAUGCAUAACAGUUUAAGCUGUCAGGCCAAAACAUAACUGGGUCAAUCGUUGUUCACUCACAGAUGGAGCCAGCAAAAAUAGGGUGCUUGUUCAUAUUUCCGGCAUUAAAGGUGCAUACAAUGUAACUUCAUGUUAUUUGUAUGGAAAAUGUUAAAUGUAUGUUUGACUAAUAGAGCUAAUAAACUAUAGAGGAAGAAUGUCGCUAGCGACGCCACCGCUACAUCUCUUGCUGGCGGAGAUAGGGAGGGAUAUAAGUGUCAAAGCGAAAAAGUAUGCAGUUUGACAGAUAGAUGUGGUAGCCGACGCUCGAAAUAAAUUCCGACAAACAAACCAAUAACUUGCCGUCACAACAGGUGGUGACCAUUCGCCGCAAAAGCCGUUCACAAACUGAAAAGCUGCACUCAGAAUCAAACCCAUCGAGGUAACAUGGCACACACACCAUUAUCACCCUGUGCGACACUUCAGUCACACCAUUCAUACUUCUGUGUGUUGCCCGGGUUGCCUGAGCAUGCAGCUACUCGCCUACACUAAUACAGAGAAGCGCCGUCAUCGUCGAGUGCGCAUCAUACUCGAACCGGUUCACGCAAAACUCGAAAGCAAACCGCGAGAAAGCUUUCGCUUGCUUGUCAAACUAAAAGCUCAUCAGGAUUGAGCGCACGGAGGGAAAGCAUCGCGACAUAAUUGAAAACGAUUCCAGUCUGCAACAUUUUCUAUAAUCCUCACUUCAUUCUCCACAAUAGAUACCCGACAUGUUUGCGAAUGAGAACAAAGGGAACACCAGCGACAUUCGUCCUCUAUAGUUUAUUAACUCUAUUGUUUGACUCAAGGUGUUUUUAAGGAAGGUGACAGCGUAUAAACAGUCAGUGGAUGCGGGGCGUGCGGGGAGGUGGAGGUGACAGCUGGCUAGUUUGUGUAUGCUGCAGAGCGCUACAGAAGCGUCGCUGCGCUGCAUCGGCCACAACAUUCUCAACACGGAGAACCAAUGUUCGCAUAUUCCCAUGGCACACAUAAAAUGAGUAACAUUCACCCAGAUUUUAAAAUUGGGCGUGCCUUCACAUUUAUGUAAAAUAUCUUUUUUUUUUUGUAUACCAAGGUGAUUUAGAAAUCAAACAAGAUUGCCAUGCCGAAAGUAUUGCAAAAUAUACGCUUAUGUGGGUGACAAACUGAUUUUCAAUUUGGGUAAGUCUUGCACACUCUAUGCGUGCCAUGAAAUUUGGCCGAUUGUAGUGCUGUGUAAGUUAAGCGUGAAUGGUUUUUGUGGGGUUGCUACGUUGCUAAGGCCCAAAGUUUUUGCUUGCCAUCAUAUUAGUGAAAACAAAUCAAACACAAACUUGCCAGCUGUCUUUCGGUUUUCCAAUAUGGCGGAUUGUAGAAUCUGACAUAUUGGAUUACCUUCCUUUUACUUAUCUUGGUUUGACUCGUCUAUAAAAAGCUCAGAGCUUCCUCUCUGAGUUUCUUUUUUUCGAUCGUGAUCUUCGAACAGAGUUGUAGUGCGCGCGUGUGUAGAUUGUAAAGUUUGUAUGUUAAUUGUUAAAAUUUGAAUAUGGUGAAAGUUUUAUUAUUCAGUGUUGUCUCUUUUGUCUUAGGUCGAAAUAAUUGUUAGUAACGAUUAGUGCAUUUAAUGUUAUUCGGAACAAAUCAUGCAAAUAUUAGUACGGUUAGUGACUAGAAAGUUGUUAGAAAGAACUUAAAGCUAAUUUGUUAUUUUCUACAGUUACUAUUAUGCUAAAAGCGAAACACGAACAAACAGCACAACGAAGAAUUGAAAAGUGUGUGAGUGUGAAGAAACUAUAUAGAAAAAGGUCCGUCAAUUGGGCCUUUUUCUCUGUAUUUUUACUCUACCGCCGACAGAAGAUCCCCGGGAACUACUUUCCCGGAAGUGUAUGCCAAUCAACGAUCGGAAACUGGGUUUCGUGACAAGAAACUGCGUCCCGUCGCGAGGUGAUGUUCCAUUCCACCAACGACCAUCUGUGUUCGCCAGCGCGCCGAUAGGAGUCGCCAUUGCCAUCCAUCGGUCCCGCCAGCGUUUGCCGCCAUCGCUAUCCGCCGGAACGCCUGGCGUUUCCCGUGAGCAACAUCAGCUAUGGCCGCCGGUAAAGUCGAACGGCUACCGAGCGCCUACCAAUGAAGAUCCGGAUCAAGAAAAACCACUAGCAUGCAAGUAGCCCUAUUGUGUGACGUCACCACUAAAUAAACUAUUGUAAUAUGUAAAUUGCCUCAA